Molecule: small nucleolar RNA, 82 nt
Organism: Sorghum bicolor (sorghum)
Lineage: Eukaryota; Viridiplantae; Streptophyta; Magnoliopsida; Poales; Poaceae
Source: Rfam
GGGGGAAGUGAUGAGAUUAUAUCCACACGAGAUAUCUGCAUUCUUUAUGAUGACAACAUCAUGCAUCACCAUCUGAUCUCUC